RNA transcript from Indicator indicator, 582 nucleotides. It is a transcript of the gene named ribosomal protein L27, with no coding region annotated. The record is from RefSeq and is a predicted model, not a curated record. NCBI's taxonomy places the organism in Eukaryota, Metazoa, Chordata, Aves, Piciformes, Indicatoridae. The transcript is spliced from 6 exons.
UUUCCGGUCUGGGCCCAUCGCCGCGCAGUCUUGAGAUGGGGAAGUUCAUGAAGCCGGGGAAGGUGGUGCUGGUGCUGGCCGGCCGCUACUCGGGGCGCAAGGCUGUCAUCGUAAAGAACAUCGACGAUGGUACCUCAGACCGGCCGUACAGCCACGCUUUGGUGGCCGGCAUCGACCGCUACCCGCGGAAGGUGACGGCUGCGAUGGGCAAGAAGAAGAUCGCCAAGAGAUCGAAGAUCAAGUCCUUUGUGAAGGUUUACAACUACAAUCAUCUGAUGCCCACCCGGUAUUCUGUUGAUAUUCCCCUGGACAAAACGGUGGUCAAUAAGGAUGUGUUCAGGGAUCCCGCUCUGAAACGCAAAGCAAGGCGUGAAGCCAAGGUGAAAUUUGAGGAGAGCCUGGAUGUGUUCACACAGCCAUUUGUGCUGGGAGCUGCUGGAUUGGGAUGGGGAAGUGGUUCACCAACAGCUGUAGACUUGAGCUGAUGUUUGGUGGUGAUGCUGCAGCCUCGUUCCAGCUCCAGUGGGACCUCCCCGGGGGCCAGGUACAAGACAGGCAAGAAUAAGUGGUUCUUCCAGAAGC